This 587-nucleotide ribosomal RNA is filed under the name uncultured bacterium. RNAcentral describes it as "bacterial SSU rRNA". It matches the Rfam family "Bacterial small subunit ribosomal RNA", at positions 338 to 916 of the family's 1533-position model. The record is from RNAcentral.
CCUACGGGAGGCAGCAGUGGGGAAUUUUGGACAAUGGGCGCAAGCCUGAUCCAGCAAUGCCGCGUGAGUGAAGAAGGCCUUCGGGUUGUAAAGCUCUUUUGUCAGGGAAGAAAAGGUAGCCUCUAAUACAGGCUGCUCAUGACGGUACCUGAAGAAUAAGCACCGGCUAACUACGUGCCAGCAGCCGCGGUAAUACGUAGGGUGCAAGCGUUAAUCGGAAUUACUGGGCGUAAAGCGUGCGCAGGCGGUUAUAUAAGUCAGCUGUGAAAUCCCCGGGCUCAACCUGGGAACUGCAGUUGAGACUGUAUGGCUAGAGUGUGUCAGAGGGGGGUAGAAUUCCACGUGUAGCAGUGAAAUGCGUAGAUAUGUGGAGGAAUACCGAUGGCGAAGGCAGCCCCCUGGGGAUAACACUGACGCUCAUGCACGAAAGCGUGGGGAGCAAACAGGAUUAGAUACCCUGGUAGUCCACGCCCUAAACGAUGUCUACUAGUUGUUGGGUCUUAAUUGACUUAGUAACGCAGCUAACGCGUGAAGUAGACCGCCUGGGGAGUACGGGUCGCAAGAUUAAAACUCAAAUGAAAUUGAGG